Molecule: ribosomal RNA, 253 nt
Filed under: uncultured bacterium
Lineage: Bacteria
Description: partial 16S ribosomal RNA
Rfam family: Bacterial small subunit ribosomal RNA
Source: RNAcentral
UACGUAGGGAGCUAGCGUUGUCCGGAUUUAUUGGGCGUAAAGAGCGUGUAGGCGGUCAGGUAGGUCGGUUGUGAAAACUGGAGGCUCAACCUUCAGAGGUCGACCGAAACCCCCUGGCUAGAGUCCGGGAGAGGAGAGUGGAAUUCCUGGUGUAGCGGUGAAAUGCGCAGAUAUCAGGAAGAACACCCGUGGCGAAAGCGGCUCUCUGGAACGGUACUGACGCUGAGACGCGAAAGCGUGGGGAGCGAACAGG